UACGAAGGGGGCGAGCGUUGUUCGGAUUUACUGGGCGUAAAGGGCGCGCAGGCGGCCGUCCAAGUCAGGCGUGAAAGCCCCGGGCUUAACCUGGGAACUGCGUCUGGGACUGGAUGGCUAGAGAUCGGGAGAGGAGAGUGGAAUUCCCAGUGUAGAGGUGAAAUUCGUAGAUAUUGGGAAGAACACCGGUGGCGAAGGCGGCUCUCUGGACCGAGACUGACGCUGAGGCGCGAAAGCGUGGGGAGCAAACAGGAUUAGAAACCCCCGUAGUCC
This 273-nucleotide ribosomal RNA is filed under the name uncultured bacterium. Its description in RNAcentral is "partial 16S ribosomal RNA". It matches the Rfam family "Bacterial small subunit ribosomal RNA", at positions 524 to 796 of the family's 1533-position model. The record is from RNAcentral.